AGUGAACGCUGGCGGUAGGCCUAACACAUGCAAGUCGAACGGCAGCACAGUAAGAGCUUGCUCUUACGGGUGGCGAGUGGCGGACGGGUGAGGAAUACAUCGGAAUCUACUUUUUCGUGGGGGAUAACGUAGGGAAACUUACGCUAAUACCGCAUACGACCUACGGGUGAAAGCAGGGGAUCUUCGGACCUUGCGCGAUUGAAUGAGCCGAUGUCGGAUUAGCUAGUUGGCGGGGUAAAGGCCCACCAAGGCGACGAUCCGUAGCUGGUCUGAGAGGAUGAGCAGCCACACUGGAACUGAGACACGGUCCAGACUCCUACGGGAGGCAGCAGUGGGGAAUAUUGGACACUGGGCGCAAGCCUGAUCCAGCCAUACCGCGUGGGUGAAGAAGGCCUUCGGGUUGUAAAGCCCUUUUGUUGGGAAAGAAAAGCAGCAGGUUAAUACCCCGCUGUUCUGACGGUACCCAAAGAAUAAGCACCGGCUAACUUCGUG
RNAcentral lists this ribosomal RNA (492 nucleotides) under uncultured bacterium. RNAcentral's name for it is "partial 16S ribosomal RNA". It matches the Rfam family "Bacterial small subunit ribosomal RNA", at positions 29 to 507 of the family's 1533-position model. The record is from RNAcentral.